GCCAAGAGAGGGCCCUGAAGACCCGAUAUCCAGAUGUGCCACCCUCUCUUGGUUCCUGGACCCUGGAUGCUAGAGGUAGACCGAGCAGAGUUCUCCAGAGAACACCGCUGGACUGCGCUACGUCUUCCCCAGACCCUGCAACCUACCUAUCCCUUCAUUUGACAGGGUCCCAGUUUCACUUCUUUCUGCAAGAGCAAUCUCAGCUCCUUAGAGACGGUCCAUACUCCUUGCUCAGUGAAUCCAUCCAUCAUAUGAGGAGAAUAAUGCCAAUGGAAAUAUAAAUAUUUUGAAAAGCUUUGGGAAGAAAAUCUGGAGAUGGCACAGGAAGCAGCCACAAACUCAAGUAGCAACAGGGACCCUGAAGUUGAAGUUGUGAAACUGUGAAUACAUGAGACUCCGGGGGCUUAUACCACAUUGGGAAGCAGGUGUUCCACUUGGUUGUUCAACAUGACAUCAUCACAUCAUUGCAAUGAAGAAAAUGGGAAGAGUGCCACAGAAUCUUCUACUUUUUCAAAGGAUCCUGAAGAUCAGGA
Peromyscus eremicus (cactus mouse) is the source of this 533-nucleotide long non-coding RNA. RefSeq lists it as uncharacterized. The record is from RefSeq and is a predicted model, not a curated record. Lineage: Eukaryota; Metazoa; Chordata; Mammalia; Rodentia; Cricetidae. The transcript is spliced from 3 exons.